Molecule: long non-coding RNA, 4161 nt
Filed under: Olea europaea subsp. europaea
Lineage: Eukaryota; Viridiplantae; Streptophyta; Magnoliopsida; Lamiales; Oleaceae
Source: RNAcentral
CUGAUAUCUUUGUUUUACUUGUUUCUGUAGGCCGAAGCUAAAAUACUUAAAGGGCCACAUGAGGACCUAGAAAGCUAUGUUCAAGCAAUUGAGCAACUAAGAAACAACAUUCGGUUUUUUGUGACAACAAAAGCUUCAAGAGCUCAGCCAUACAAAUAAUUUACUAGCCAAGGCUAUAACCAAGCUGGAAGAAGAAUUUAAGCAGAUAUUGUCAUCAUACAGGUAUGUUUUACUUUCUUUGUGCAACAACUUAUAAUUUUGCCGCCAUACCAUUAUUUUAAACUAGACAUUUUUCUUGCAUAUAAUUUUAUGGUAGUAGGUCACCCAUGACGAGUUGACGACAAAGUCUUGUACUACAUAUAUAUAGUGCAUGUGUGUGAGUGUAUCUACUAACCUUCUGUGUGAAGAUAGUACACUAACAUUGUGCUCACAAUUUUUUAGCUGUUAUUGACCCAUCCAUGUCAUUAAACCCUUGUUUCAAAAUAUUUAAAAAUCACUUAUCAUUUUCAAAUACGCAUUCUCUCAAGAGAAUAUUUUUCAUGUUUCCCCGUAACUUUUCCUAUGUUUUAACCACACAAGCAAUCCUCUUAUAUUGAUUUGCAAGUUCUGAACAACUAUCCUCCUGCACUCUAAAAAAAAAGGUUGAUCUUCAAUUUUGAGGGCUCUCACUGCCCCGCUCUUAGGGUAUCGUGAGAGAGGUAACUCGCGGGAUGGGUCUCAACAGAUUAGGGAACAAGAGCUUGCCCGUAUAUUGUGCCCACAAAGAGUCCAAUUCCAUAUCUCAAAAAUCGAACCCUCACACUGCGGCUGUCAGCAAAACUGAGGUUGCAGGCUGUAACUGCUUCAUUCUGUUUAUCAUCUCCUCGGAAAGUAAACUUGAACACAGACAAUAGAGCAUCAAAAUUCAGGAAGGUGAAGAGAGUCGAAGGCAAACAAAAUGGGUUCAGUGAGAAAAAUCCAUGCGGUAGGAAAGGCGACACAAGACACUUUGUCAGAUACUAGGACGAGGUAAUUUGUAGAUACAUUAUCCUUCUGCACUCUCAAAAAAAAGGUUAAACCCUAUCCUUAAGGGUCCCCCACCACCCCUGUCUUGGAGUAUCGUGAGGGAGGUAAAUCGCAGAUUAUGCCUCCAAGGGUAUAGGGUGGAAGGCUGCUUGUAUACUUGCACUUACCCAAGAGCCAAAUCCAUAUUUCAGGAUUCGAACCCUUGACGCAGCAGCCUCAAGCAAAGCUGGAUUUCUCCACCCUCCCCUUUUACCACUUGGAGAUGUGCCCUGGGGGCAUUAUCCUUCUGCACUCUCGCUAGCACGGAUGGAGGAAAUAGUAGCAUAAUUUCAAGAGCAAUUAUCAAAGACAGGUGUGUUUGAGUUGUAGUUUCCUGGAGAACAAUAUUUGCUUGUUAAGUGGUAUAAAUUGACUUAGAAUGUGAUUUGAUUGAAUUUGUUGUAUUUCAUUACUAUAUUGAAGACAUUUAAUAUGCAAUUUGAGGAACUCCAUCAAAGACAAUCUCAAUGAACAGUUUCUGACACGGAGUUAAGAGUCUUUGAGGCUUGCAGUUGCUAAAGUCUUGCUUCCAACUUGCCGAUCCCUCAUUAAAGGUGGUCAGUAAAUUAGAGUAUUUUGUUAGUGAUUUGAACGAAUUAUAGUUUAAUUAUGUGUUAAUUAUAUUUGUUAGGUUGAACUCAAUACAAAUUGAUAGAAUUAGAAUAAAUGAACAAAAAGGAGGCAAAAAUAAAUGAAUCCAAUGUAUAAGGACCAAAGUGUAAAUAUUCAAUGGUUAAUUCGGUCCAUAAAAUGAUGAUUGGAGAUCACAUAUGAUCAACUGUAUGUAAUUUUGAGGCCAAAGGAGUGAAAUAGAGUUGAAGUAUUUGCACAAAUCAAUUUUCAAUCGAAGAAGUCGUGCUCCGAAUUUUUAGCCUCAACUUGAGACCCAUUUUUCGGAUAGCAAACGUUUGAAUUGAAAAAAUUGUACUUCUAAUAGAGUUUUAGCCCUUUGAGUUUCAUGUCACUUUGAAUCACCUCAAUCGGAUAACAAAAAAAAAGUUAUGACCAAAAUAUCGAAAGUUGUUCACGGAUAAUGGUGCACUAGCGAAUCAGUAGUUUUCUUUCACGAUUCAAACUCUUUUGGCACUCAAAUUGGACGUGAUUUUUGAUCUAUUUUCUAACUUUCAUAAAUAUUCAUAAAUAGAGAACAAAGGUUACACAUAGUAAAAAUCCUCUCUUGCAUCUUCAUAUAUAAUAGUUUCAUCAAAUUCAUAAAAAAAACAAAGAGUUAAUUAUUAUACUUUGAGAGGGGAGAUCAAGCCCUAGCAAGAAUUGAAAGCCAAUUACAUCAAGAUUUUGAAGAUUUUAACAUUGGAUUUGAAAAUCAACAUCUUUUGAAUUAUUUCAUGAUCCGAGUGAUAUUUUCCUAUUCUUCUUAUUAUUUAUAUAUUAAUAUGCUAAGCUAAAUCCGCUUUUGUAUUGGAUGAAGAUAAAUCCUAUUUGUUAUUUAUUUCUAAUUCAAGACUAGUAGUUUAGUUUAAUUCUUAUAUUUCUUGAUUAAUUUUGCAUAUUCAUUGUAUUAUUUAAUUGAUCGGUCACCAAUUAGAUAAUUCGUUGCUUAUUGUAGUAUUGAGAGACUCACAAUUAGUUUAGUACCUGACAAAAUUAACCUAUGUGUAAUAGAUAUUAGGAGUAACAUUUGUCACGUAUGCAAUCAUAUAGAUAAUCUAAAAUUUAAUGCGUUCUAACCAUUUGAAUUUGGACUAGGAAUAUAUUCGAGUCGUGAUUAAGAUGAAAUUAGUUUGUCUUAAAAAGUUAAAUAAAUUAACUUGAUCGGUUGUCAUAAACGCAUGAGUGAAACUAGACUACGAAUCAAGAAUUAAAAUAGAUAGCAAAAGACGGAUUCUAGGUCCAAUACAAUCAUCCAUAAUUUGAUAAAAAUCAUAUUUUUACAGCUUUAUUAGAUUAAGGCCCCAUUUGUUUCCCAUUUUUGGAAGAAUGAAAAUGAAAAAUAUAGUCAUUAGGGCUCCACACAAAAGAUAAAAUUCAAAUUUGGUGGCUUGAUGUAAUGGAUAACGGUCAUAUUUUUCAUUUUAAAGAGGAAAUAAUGGGAAACAAACGGGGGCUAAUUUAGCAUAAAUCAAAUCAAACUUAUUUUGUUUACAUAAUUCGAAUUUCAUAUGAAACUAGUAAAUUUGAAUUGAAAUUUAUUCCCUGUAAGAUAGGACGAUACUCUCAACUCACUAUAUCUAUUACUUGUCAACAAUCACGUACACUUAUGGGUUUCACACGAACAAAAUGCUUCGGGUACAUUUCUUAUUAUUGGUUAAAAAAGUCAUAAGAUUCAUUAAAGGCUUAGGAUAAUGAUUCAACAUUGGUGGCAUAGUAUUUCUAAUUUGCUACAAAUGAAUUAUAUAGUUUGUUUCUUAUUGUUAACAUCAUCCUUACCUCAUGUAACAUGAGUAUAUUAUGGUGAAAUGUAUUUAGAUUUUUGACAUACGUUUCAGGCCUUUGGUUGAGAACGGUAAUAACCCACAGAAGUACAUCAUAUACAAUCCAGAGGAUCUCGAACAUGUGCCUGGUGAAUUUUUCGAGGGUAAGACCUUAAACGACCACAAGCGGUAGACAUCCUAUCCAAUGCUCUCGACUUUUAGUCUUUUAUUAGACAACUAUGGGGUCACUUUCUUGUACAUGAUGUUUCUUCAUUUUCCUGUUAAGGUGGUUUUGUGCUUGACUGCAUGCAUAUUGUAAUAUCCUGCGUUGUAGAGAAGCUUAUUCAUAAUCAUGGGCGGAGCCAUGCACAGUCCAGUGUAGGCAAAUGCCCGCACUGGACUUUUGGCCCAAGCCCAUGGUCAAUUCAAUUUUUUUUUUUUUUUAAGGUAUGUUUUUCAUUUAUUUAUAGUCCAACUCAUACACUAAUUUACCCCAACUCCAAGUGUACGAGGACAUUUUCUGACUCUCUUCCCUCAGUAAGAAAUUAAAAUUUUUCUUUAAAUCUCCUCUCGUUUUGAAAUAUUUUCAAAUUUCAUUUCUUUUCUAAAACCCAUAUGUUCUUGGGCCCUCAAAUUUGCAGCAAAAAUUUUCUUGAUCAUGUGAUUUUUUUUUUGUUUAAUAUUAAGGAUUUUGAUUAUGUGAAUGUUGAAUAUUGAUAAUAUUUGUGAUGGAUUUUUGAAAUUU